Molecule: ribosomal RNA, 496 nt
Filed under: uncultured eukaryote
Lineage: Eukaryota
Description: SSU rRNA
Rfam family: Eukaryotic small subunit ribosomal RNA
Source: RNAcentral
CAAACCUUACCGAAUGCAAUUGGAGGGCAAGUCUGGUGCCAGCAGCCGCGGUAAUUCCAGCUCCAAUAGCGUAUAUUAAAAGUUGUUGCAGUUAAAAAGCUCGUAGUUGAAGUUCUGAUUGCUCAGGUUUCCAGCCUUAGGCGGAGAUACUGACAGUCAUCCGCUUGCAAACAUAUGUUCGAUCUUCACCGGUUGGCUAUGUGAGUAAGCACUUUACCUUGAGAAAAACAGAGUGUUCCAGGCAGGUUUGUCCGGGAUGCAUUAGCAUGGAAUAAUAGAACAUGACUGAAGUCGAUUUAUUGGUUUAAGGCUUUAGUAAUGAUUAAUAGGAACAGUCGGGGGCAUUCGUACUCAGCAGUCAGAGGUGAAAUUCUAAAGAUUUGCUGAAGACGAACUAAUGCGAAAGCAUUUGCCAAGGAUGUUUUCAUUAAUCAAGAACGAAAGUUAGGGGAUCAAAGACGAUCAGAUACCGUCCUAGUCUUAACUAUAAACUAUG